Molecule: unclassified non-coding RNA, 344 nt
Filed under: soil metagenome
Description: partial contains 5.8S ribosomal RNA, internal transcribed spacer 2, and large subunit ribosomal RNA
Rfam family: 5.8S ribosomal RNA (bases 2-119)
Source: RNAcentral
AGAUGAAGAACGUAGCGAAAUGCGAUACGUAAUGAAUUGCAGAAUUCAGUGAAUCAUCGAGUCUUUGAACGCACAUUGCGCCCCCUGGUAUUCCGGGGGGCAUGCCUGUCCGAGCGUCAUUGCUGCCCUCAAGCACGGCUUGUGUGUUGGGCCUCCGUCCUCCUCCCGGGGGACGGGCCCGAAAGGCAGCGGCGGCACCGCGUCCGGUCCUCGAGCGUAUGGGGCUUCGUCACCCGCUCUUGUAGGCCCGGCCGGCGCUUGCCGACACAUCAAUCUUUUUUCCAGGUUGACCUCGGAUCAGGUAGGGAUACCCGCUGAACUUAAGCAUAUCAAUAAGCGGAGGA